This 88-nucleotide non-coding RNA is filed under the name bovine gut metagenome. RNAcentral's name for it is "TPP riboswitch (THI element)". It matches the Rfam family "TPP riboswitch aptamer (THI element)", at positions 7 to 92 of the family's 105-position model. Rfam says of the family: Vitamin B(1) in its active form thiamin pyrophosphate (TPP) is an essential coenzyme that is synthesised by coupling of pyrimidine and thiazole moieties in bacteria. The previously detected thiamin-regulatory element, thi box was extended, resulting in a new, highly conserved RNA secondary structure, the THI element, which is widely distributed in eubacteria and also occurs in some archaea. The record is from RNAcentral.
AGUGCUGGGGGAGCGAAAAGCUGAGAGUGUAUGUUGAUACAGACCCUUAUCACCUGAUCCGGUCAAUGCCGGCGUAGGGAAGCAGGAG